ACGGUUGUGUGUGUUGUGGAUUGUAUCAGUUACGAAUAUGUCUGCUGUGUGCCUGGGUGUAAUUCCUACUACAAAAGACGGGAAAAAGACAAAACACGUUCGUUCCACCGGUUCCUGACAGACACCAGAUUGAAGAGAGAGUGGAUUUCAAAAAUUAGAAUCAGAGACAUCGGUACAUUUUUCCAGCAAUGAACCUGCUGGAGAGACAGAAGAUGCCAGUGUAAGCUUAGACCUGGCUGGAGUUGACACUGGUGCAGACCAAGUUGUUAAGCCAGCACCCCACUCUGACCAUGACUAUGCUGAACUCUCGGUCACUGGAAGAGCAGCUAGAAGCAGCACGGAAGGAGAUCUCCUGCGUAAGGCGGGCAAAUACCAUCCUCAAGGCAUCCUGUUUCAGCUUGAAGCAAAAAUGAUUCAAAGUUCUUGACAUUCUACACUGGAUUUCGGGUGAAUAAUUAUCCAACAUGAAGUCUUUUUCUACAGUGUUGUUACUAUAGUACUUUCUACAGUAUUAGCAAUACUUUGGACACAAACUCAUACAGUAA
Long non-coding RNA from Alosa sapidissima (American shad), 545 nucleotides. RefSeq lists it as uncharacterized. The transcript is spliced from 3 exons. NCBI's taxonomy places the organism in Eukaryota, Metazoa, Chordata, Actinopteri, Clupeiformes, Clupeidae. The record is from RefSeq and is a predicted model, not a curated record.